Brassica rapa (field mustard) is the source of this 624-nucleotide long non-coding RNA. RefSeq lists it as uncharacterized. Lineage: Eukaryota; Viridiplantae; Streptophyta; Magnoliopsida; Brassicales; Brassicaceae. The record is from RefSeq and is a predicted model, not a curated record.
AAAAAGUCAGUCCAGAGAAGAUGGAAACUCAGAUAAUAUGGGUUUUAAACGAUGGAGAUUUUCUUGUGUUUAUGCAGUAAGCUUGAACCAGGUGAUACAAAACAUGAACAUUUGAAAUACUAAAACUUAGCAGCAGUAAUAAGCUGUAGGCUAUAUAGCACAAACAGAGACAUCCUUCUAAAUAGUCACAGCUCAGCACAUAGCUCUCUGAAAACGUAAAGCAGCAGGGAGAUGUAGAUAAAAAAAACCUACAAACAAACAACCAUCAUUUUCAACCUAACUUUGCCUCUAAGUCUAUUCUAAAAUUCCAAACAUCCCCAUGUACAGAUGCCAUCAUAUUCUUUCUCCACCCCAGAUAUCUAAAUUUCCCAUUGCUCAAAUCAAAAUUCACCGAGAGAAAUAUACCAGAAAAAAAGAUUACUACACUCCAAGUUUCUCUAAUUAAAAUGGUCUAAUGAUGACUCUCGGAUCAUAAGGUUCCGUUAAGAUAUAACCCUUCAACCAACUUCACCAAUUACAGUAAAGCUAAUCCCCAAUAAUCGAAAGAAAUGGACUAAGCCCUAUCACCAUUCACCACGAUUCUCACUCAAAAAGUUUCCCAACUGCAAAAUUCAUAUAGUUGAC